Molecule: ribosomal RNA, 253 nt
Filed under: uncultured bacterium
Lineage: Bacteria
Description: partial 16S ribosomal RNA
Rfam family: Bacterial small subunit ribosomal RNA
Source: RNAcentral
UACGGGGGGGGCAAGCGUUGUUCGGAAUUACUGGGCGUAAAGGGUGUGUAGGCGGUUGUUUAAGUUUGGUGUGAAAUCUCCCGGCUCAACCGGGAGGGUGCGCCGAAUACUGAAUGACUAGAGUGCGGGAGAGGAAAGUGGAAUUCCUGGUGUAGCGGUGAAAUGCGUAGAUAUCAGGAGGAACACCGGUGGUGUAGACGGCUUUCUGGACCGUAACUGACGCUGAGACACGAAAGCGUGGGUAGCAAACAGG